UAUAAGAAAAGCUGAACAGAGCGACACUACAACCACCUCCUCCACCUGCUGCCAGACCGUCUGCUGAAGCUCUGAAGGCUUGAAGGUGUGAUCACUGCAACCAUGCUGAAGGUAGCACUUGUGCUCGGAUGCCUCCUGAGCCUCGCUCUGGCUCAUCCUACGGAGACUGAACACCAGCGGUUUGCUCGCUCAGACUCCAAUGAGGCUACCGCCACUGGGGCUGCAGGAGCUUCAGAUGUAGCUUCAGCUGCAGCAGCAGCAGCAGCAGCGUUGUCGCCUCAGCAGCUUCUCCAGCUCCUUCUGAACCUCUUUCAGCGUUAAUAAAGUACCACUGCAGCGCUGCUACAACUCCUCCUGCAGCUACAACUCCUCCUGCAGCUACAACUACUAGCACAGAAAAUUAAAAUGUAAUCAGAGACAGCCACCAUCGAAUGACGUCCAUGUUUAACAUCAGAUAUGUUUUGUGUCAGUUUGUCGAGAAGACUUCUUCUGUCUCUUUUCAAACUUCAAAGAUGUCUGUAUGUGCUUCUCAAACUCGUCAUUCUACUUCAUUUAGACGUGUGGAUCACAACCACACAAUUCUCUGCUAAAUAAAGUGCAUGAAAACGGAGCUCUGAGUCUGGGAACAUGAGUAGGAAGAGAGCGAUGUGUUUGGUUGUGAUUUUUGUUUUUUCCAUUUGCUUCUAUGUUUGUGUUGCGGUGCAUUGAGCUCUCAGGGCCACCGUAGAGAUGCCUCUG
Chelmon rostratus (copperband butterflyfish) is the source of this 738-nucleotide long non-coding RNA. RefSeq lists it as uncharacterized. The record is from RefSeq and is a predicted model, not a curated record. The transcript has 4 exons. NCBI's taxonomy places the organism in Eukaryota, Metazoa, Chordata, Actinopteri, Chaetodontiformes, Chaetodontidae.